RNAcentral lists this ribosomal RNA (253 nucleotides) under uncultured bacterium. RNAcentral's name for it is "partial 16S ribosomal RNA". It matches the Rfam family "Bacterial small subunit ribosomal RNA", at positions 524 to 776 of the family's 1533-position model. The record is from RNAcentral.
GACGAACCGUGCGAACGUUGUUCGGAAUCACUGGGCUUAAAGGGUGCGUAGGCGGGUCAUCAAGUCCGGGGUGAGAUCCUCCCGCUCAACGGGAGAAGUGCCUUGGAUACUGGUGGUCUUGAGUGGGGUAGGGGCAUGUGGAACUCCCGGUGGAGCGGUGAAAUGCGUAGAUAUCGGGAGGAACGCCGGUGGCGAAAGCGACGUGCUGGACCCCUUCUGACGCUGAGGCACGAAAGCCAGGGGAGCGAACGGG